UUUAUAUGAGAGUUUGAUCCUGGCUCAGGAUGAACGCCGGCGGUGUGCCUAAUACAUGCAAGUCGAACGCGUUGGCCCAAUUGAUUGAUGGUGCUUGCACCUGAUUGAUUUUGGUCGCCAACGAGUGGCGGACGGGUGAGUAACACGUAGGUAACCUGCCCAGAAGCGGGGGACAACAUUUGGAAACAGAUGCUAAUACCGCAUAACAGCGUUGUUCGCAUGAACAACGCUUAAAAGAUGGCUUCUCGCUAUCACUUCUGGAUGGACCUGCGGUGCAUUAGCUUGUUGGUGGGGUAACGGCCUACCAAGGCGAUGAUGCAUAGCCGAGUUGAGAGACUGAUCGGCCACAAUGGGACUGAGACACGGCCCAUACUCCUACGGGAGGCAGCAGUAGGGAAUCUUCCACAAUGGGCGCAAGCCUGAUGGAGCAACACCGCGUGAGUGAAGAAGGGUUUCGGCUCGUAAAGCUCUGUUGUUAAAGAAGAACACGUAUGAGAGUAACUGUUCAUACGUUGACGGUAUUUAACCAGAAAGUCACGGCUAACUACGUGCCAGCAGCCGCGGUAAUACGUAGGUGGCAAGCGUUAUCCGGAUUUAUUGGGCGUAAAGAGAGUGCAGGCGGUUUUCUAAGUCUGAUGUGAAAGCCUUCGGCUUAACCGGAGAAGUGCAUCGGAAACUGGAUAACUUGAGUGCAGAAGAGGGUAGUGGAACUCCAUGUGUAGCGGUGGAAUGCGUAGAUAUAUGGAAGAACACCAGUGGCGAAGGCGGCUACCUGGUCUGCAACUGACGCUGAGACUCGAAAGCAUGGGUAGCGAACAGGAUUAGAUACCCUGGUAGUCCAUGCCGUAAACGAUGAGUGCUAGGUGUUGGAGGGUUUCCGCCCUUCAGUGCCGGAGCUAACGCAUUAAGCAC
Molecule: ribosomal RNA, 912 nt
Filed under: Limosilactobacillus fermentum
Lineage: Bacteria; Bacillati; Bacillota; Bacilli; Lactobacillales; Lactobacillaceae
Description: bacterial SSU rRNA
Rfam family: Bacterial small subunit ribosomal RNA
Source: RNAcentral